AUGCAAGUCGAGCGAACAGACGAGGAGCUUGCUCCUCUGACGUUAGCGGCGGACGGGUGAGUAACACGUGGAUAACCUACCUAUAAGACUGGGAUAACUUCGGGAAACCGGAGCUAAUACCGGAUAAUAUAUUGAACCGCAUGGUUCAAUAGUGAAAGACGGUUUUGCUGUCACUUAUAGAUGGAUCCGCGCCGCAUUAGCUAGUUGGUAAGGUAACGGCUUACCAAGGCAACGAUGCGUAGCCGACCUGAGAGGGUGAUCGGCCACACUGGAACUGAGACACGGUCCAGACUCCUACGGGAGGCAGCAGUAGGGAAUCUUCCGCAAUGGGCGAAAGCCUGACGGAGCAACGCCGCGUGAGUGAUGAAGGUCUUCGGAUCGUAAAACUCUGUUAUUAGGGAAGAACAAAUGUGUAAGUAACUAUGCACGUCUUGACGGUACCUAAUCAGAAAGCCACGGCUAACUACGUGCCAGCAGCCGCGGUAAUACGUAGGUGGCAAGCGUUAUCCGGAAUUAUUGGGCGUAAAGCGCGCGUAGGCGGUUUUUUAAGUCUGAUGUGAAAGCCCACGGCUCAACCGUGGAGGGUCAUUGGAAACUGGAAAACUUGAGUGCAGAAGAGGAAAGUGGAAUUCCAUGUGUAGCGGUGAAAUGCGCAGAGAUAUGGAGGAACACCAGUGGCGAAGGCGACUUUCUGGUCUGUAACUGACGCUGAUGUGCGAAAGCGUGGGGAUCAAACAGGAUUAGAUACCCUGGUAGUCCACGCCGUAAACGAUGAGUGCUAAGUGUUAGGGGGUUUCCGCCCCUUAGUGCUGCAGCUAACGCAUUAAGCACUCCGCCUGGGGAGUACGACCGCAAGGUUGAAACUCAAAGGAAUUGACGGGGACUCGCACAAGCGGUGGAGCAUGUGGUUUAAUUCGAAGCAACGCGAAGAACCUUACCAAAUCUUGACAUCCUCUGACCCCUCUAGAGAUAGAGUUUUCCCCUUCGGGGGACAGAGUGACAGGUGGUGCAUGGUUGUCGUCAGCUCGUGUCGUGAGAUGUUGGGUUAAGUCCCGCAACGAGCGCAACCCUAAGCUUAGUUGCCAUCAUUAAGUUGGGCCCUCUAAGUUGACUGCCGGGACAAACCGAAGAAGGUGGGAUNACGUCAAANNUCCUGCCCCUUUGAUUGGGNACCACGGGCUCAAUGANAAAACAAGGGAGCGANCCGCAAGUCAGCAAUCCAAAAGUGUUNCAUUUCGAAUGG
Molecule: ribosomal RNA, 1243 nt
Filed under: Staphylococcus epidermidis
Lineage: Bacteria; Bacillati; Bacillota; Bacilli; Caryophanales; Staphylococcaceae
Description: bacterial SSU rRNA
Rfam family: Bacterial small subunit ribosomal RNA
Source: RNAcentral